GUGGGUUACGGAGACACCUGCCCGGUGACGCUGCCGGGGAAGAUCGUGGCGACUCUGUGUAUCGUCUGUGGACUGUUGGUGGUCGCUCUGCCCAUCACCAUCAUCUUCAACAAG
Non-coding RNA from Xyrichtys novacula (pearly razorfish), 114 nucleotides. The record is from the annotation of a GenBank genome assembly. NCBI's taxonomy places the organism in Eukaryota, Metazoa, Chordata, Actinopteri, Labriformes, Labridae.